UGGGGAAUAUUGCACAAUGGGCGAAAGCCUGAUGCAGCAACGCCGCGUGAGCGAAGAAGGCCUUUGGGUCGUAAAGCUCUGUCGGAAGGGAAGAAAGAAAUGACGGUACCUUCCAAGGAAGCCCCGGCUAACUACGUGCCAGCAGCCGCGGUAAUACGUAGGGGGCAAGCGUUAUCCGGAAUUAUUGGGCGUAAAGAGUGCGUAGGUGGUUUUUUAAGCGUGAGGUGAAAGGCAAUAGCUUAACUAUUGUAAGCCUUGCGAACUGGAAGACUUGAGUGCAGGAGAGGAAAGUGGAAUUCCUAGUGUAGCGGUGAAAUGCGUAGAUAUUAGGAGGAACACCAGUGGCGAAGGCGACUUUCUGGACUGUAACUGACACUGAGGCACGAAAGCGUGGGGAGCAAACA
This 404-nucleotide ribosomal RNA is filed under the name uncultured prokaryote. RNAcentral describes it as "bacterial SSU rRNA". It matches the Rfam family "Bacterial small subunit ribosomal RNA", at positions 355 to 774 of the family's 1533-position model. The record is from RNAcentral.